Molecule: unclassified non-coding RNA, 331 nt
Filed under: soil metagenome
Description: partial contains 5.8S ribosomal RNA, internal transcribed spacer 2, and large subunit ribosomal RNA
Rfam family: 5.8S ribosomal RNA (bases 1-120)
Source: RNAcentral
GAUGAAGAACGCAGUGAAAUGCGAUACGUAAUGUGAAUUGCAGAUUUCAGUGAAUCAUCGAAUCUUUGAACGCACAUUGCGCCCGCUAGUAUUCUGGCGGGCAUGCCUGUUCGAGCGUCAUUUCAACCAUCAAGCCCUAGGCUUGCGUUGGAGCCCUGCGGCUGCCGCAGGCUCCCAAAUCCAGUGGCGGGCUCGUCGUCGUACCGAGUGCAGUAAACAUCCUCGCUCAGGGAACGUGACGGGUUCUUGCCGUGAAACCCCCCACAUAUCAAGGUUGACCUCGGAUCAGGUAGGAAUACCCGCUGAACUUAAGCAUAUCAAUAAGCGGAGA